Molecule: ribosomal RNA, 521 nt
Filed under: uncultured Acidobacteriota bacterium
Lineage: Bacteria; Pseudomonadati; Acidobacteriota
Description: bacterial SSU rRNA
Rfam family: Bacterial small subunit ribosomal RNA
Source: RNAcentral
ACACGUGGGUGACCUACCUUCGAAUGGGGGAUAACGUCCCGAAAGGGACGCUAAUACCGCAUAACAUCCUGUCUUUGAAGAGAUGGAGAUCAAAGCCGGGGAUCGUAAGACCUGGCGUUUGAAGAGGGGCCCGCGUCCGAUUAGCUAGUUGGUGAGGUAACGGCUCACCAAGGCGACGAUCGGUAGCCAGCCUGAGAGGGCGGACGGCCACACUGGGACUGAGACACGGCCCAGACUCCUACGGGAGGCAGCAGUGGGGAAUUGUUCGCAAUGGGCGCAAGCCUGACGACGCAACGCCGCGUGGAGGAUGAAGGUCUUCGGAUUGUAAACUCCUGUUGCCCGGGACGAAACGCCUCGACCUAACACGUUGAGGUUUGACGGUACCGGGUGAGGAAGCCCCGGCUAACUCUGUGCCAGCAGCCGCGGUAAUACAGAGGGGGCAAGCGUUGUUCGGAAUUACUGGGCGUAAAGGGCGCGUAGGUGGCCUUCUAAGUCGAACGUGAAAUCCCCGGGCUCAACCC